This is a long non-coding RNA of Syzygium oleosum, 555 nucleotides long. RefSeq lists it as uncharacterized. The record is from RefSeq and is a predicted model, not a curated record. NCBI's taxonomy places the organism in Eukaryota, Viridiplantae, Streptophyta, Magnoliopsida, Myrtales, Myrtaceae. The transcript is spliced from 2 exons.
UUUCCUUUUUGGUCUACAAUAUCAGACAUUUUCUCCUAUCUUCUUUUAAGUUGUAAACGUCUGUUUCAUGGUAAAUGUUGAUUUGAAGAAGUGGAAGCAUAUUCUAGUCCCCCGUAGCUAAAUCGACUUGUUCUCGGGAUAAAUGGAGGCUCCAUAAGAUAAUAUCAUCGUGCAUAAUGUUGAUCAAGAAUUUGAAUUUAGAAUUGGCAUGGUGUUUGCUAAUGAGGACGAAGCUUAUAAUAUAUACAAUGCAUAUGCAAUUUGCAAAGGAUUUGGAGUGCGAAAAGGACAAAAAGCAAAUAAUAGCAAAGGAAUACUGCGAUGAUGCAAAUUUGUUUCUAAUUGUGAAGGACAUUCUCCACCGAUCCCACCUCAUGAGCAAAGAGAUGUUUAUAGGACAAUGAAGAGAACUGGAUGUCAAGCUUAUAGUAAAUUCAUAAUUGAAGAUAGAGUUUGGGUAGUUUCUAAGUUUGAGGAUGUCCAUAAUCAUCCCUUCAUUGAAGACAAACAAAAACAUCUUACACGAUCAUAUCGACGCAUCACGGAUACUAGUAA